RNAcentral lists this unclassified non-coding RNA (229 nucleotides) under fungal sp. RNAcentral's name for it is "partial internal transcribed spacer region". The stretch from base 1 to 46 matches the Rfam family "Eukaryotic small subunit ribosomal RNA", at positions 1786 to 1831 of the family's 1831-position model. Lineage: Eukaryota; Fungi. The record is from RNAcentral.
AAGUCGUAACAAGGUUUCCGUAGGUGAACCUGCGGAAGGAUCAUUAAAAGUGCCCUCGUGGCGAACCCGAUGCGUUUUUCUGGUGCGGACGGCUGAGGUAAUCGGCUUGUCUCCAUCUGCUGGGUGAUUCCGGGAGAUGGUGCCAGAAGACACCGAACUGUUGUUAUUAAGUAGUUUUUUUGUAAAAGUUUCACAACUUUCAACGAUGGAUCUCUUGGUUUCUGCGACG